AUGAACGCUGGCGGCGUGCCUAAUACAUGCAAGUCGAGCGAACGGACGAGAAGCUUGCUUCUCUGAUGUUAGCGGCGGACGGGUGAGUAACACGUGGAUAACCUACCUAUAAGACUGGGAUAACUUCGGGAAACCGUAGCUAAUACCGGAUAAUAUUUUGAACCGCAUGGUUCAAAAGUGAAAGACGGUCUUGCUGUCACUUAUAGAUGGAUCCGCGCUGCAUUAGCUAGUUGGUAAGGUAACGGCUUACCAAGGCAACGAUGCAUAGCCGACCUGAGAGGGUGAUCGGCAACACUGGAACUGAGCCACGGUCCAGACUCCUACGGGAGGCAGCAGUAGGGAAUCUUCCGCAAUGGGCGAAAGCCUGACGGAGCAACGCCGCGUGAGUGAUGAAGGUCUUCGGAUCGUAAAACUCUGUUAUUAGGGAAGAACAUAUGUGUAAGUAACUGUGCACAUCUUGACGGUACCUAAUCAGAAAGCCACGGCUAUCUACGUG
Molecule: ribosomal RNA, 496 nt
Filed under: uncultured bacterium
Lineage: Bacteria
Description: partial 16S ribosomal RNA
Rfam family: Bacterial small subunit ribosomal RNA
Source: RNAcentral